AUGGCGCACGAUGAAGUUGAUCAUCGCGGAGUGCACACAACUCAGGAGGGAAAGAGUUUGGGCGUUUUCAUCUGCUGGCUUCUGGGCAACGGAUGCCUCUUCGGGUACAACAACAUGCUCACCAUCGAAGAUUACUUCGUCCACCUCUUCCCAGUAUAA
Molecule: ribosomal RNA, 159 nt
Filed under: Triticum aestivum (bread wheat)
Lineage: Eukaryota; Viridiplantae; Streptophyta; Magnoliopsida; Poales; Poaceae
Description: partial small subunit ribosomal RNA
Source: RNAcentral